UUGAACGCUGGCGGCAGGCCUAACACAUGCAAGUCGCGCGGAUGAAGGGAGCUUGCUCCUGGAUUCAGCGGCGGACGGGUGAGUAAUGCCUAGGAAUCUGCCUGGUAGUGGGGGAUAACGUCCGGAAACGGGCGCUAAUACCGCAUACGUCCUGAGGGAGAAAGUGGGGGAUCUUCGGACCUCUCGCUAUCAGAUGAGCCUAGGUCGGAUUAGCUAGUUGGUGGGGUAAAGGCCUACCAAGGCGACGAUCCGUAACUGGUCUGAGAGGAUGAUCAGUCACACUGGAACUGAGACACGGUCCAGACUCCUACGGGAGGCAGCAGUGGGGAAUAUUGGACAAUGGGCGAAAGCCUGAUCCAGCCAUGCCGCGUGUGUGAAGAAGGUCUUCGGAUUGUAAAGCACUUUAAGUUGGGAGGAAGGGCAGUAAGUUAAUACCUUGCUGUUUUGACGUUACCAACAGAAUAAGCACCGGCUAACUUCGUG
This 483-nucleotide ribosomal RNA is filed under the name uncultured bacterium. RNAcentral's name for it is "partial 16S ribosomal RNA". It matches the Rfam family "Bacterial small subunit ribosomal RNA", at positions 30 to 507 of the family's 1533-position model. The record is from RNAcentral.